GUGGGGAAUCUUAGACAAUGGGCGCAAGCCUGAUCUAGCCAUGCCGCGUGAGCGAUGAAGGCCUUAGGGUUGUAAAGCUCUUUCAGCUGGGAAGAUAAUGACGGUACCAGCAGAAGAAGCCCCGGCUAACUCCGUGCCAGCAGCCGCGGUAAUACGGAGGGGGCUAGCGUUGUUCGGAAUUACUGGGCGUAAAGCGCGCGUAGGCGGACUGAAAAGUUGGGGGUGAAAUCCCGGGGCUCAACCUCGGAACUGCCUUCAAAACUAUCAGUCUGGAGUUCGAGAGAGGUGAGUGGAAUUCCGAGUGUAGAGGUGAAAUUCGUAGAUAUUCGGAGGAACACCAGUGGCGAAGGCGGCUCACUGGCUCGAUACUGACGCUGAGGUGCGAAAGCGUGGGGAGCAAACAGGAUUAGAUACCCCAGUAGUCC
RNAcentral lists this ribosomal RNA (425 nucleotides) under uncultured bacterium. RNAcentral's name for it is "partial 16S ribosomal RNA". It matches the Rfam family "Bacterial small subunit ribosomal RNA", at positions 354 to 796 of the family's 1533-position model. The record is from RNAcentral.